AUAUUUUUCGUUAAUUUCAAUAUACUAGAGGUCCCGCAGUAGUCGAAAUUCGACUUAAUUAAUUGGAAUUGUAAUAGUGACCUUUUCUUCGGAGUGACUACGAUAAAAGCUCGCAUCGUGCAACUCAUAGUACCUGUUAUCUAACAGAGUUAGUCUCCGGAGACGUUCACAAACCCCAGACGUUCAGGCGGGUGGAACUAUGAUUUUAUUUUAAAUCUGACGACUGGAGGUCGACACGGAAAAUAUUGGAAAUUCAAUUUCUGUGAAUCGACGGAACAUGGACAUUUUGUCAAUGGAAACGCCAACACAUUUUUGUCAUUACGUAUUGUUAUUUUAUUGUUAUUAUUAUAUAUUAUUAUUACUUA
This is a long non-coding RNA of Bombyx mori (domestic silkworm), 365 nucleotides long. RefSeq lists it as uncharacterized. The transcript is spliced from 2 exons. NCBI's taxonomy places the organism in Eukaryota, Metazoa, Arthropoda, Insecta, Lepidoptera, Bombycidae. The record is from RefSeq and is a predicted model, not a curated record.